RNAcentral lists this long non-coding RNA (245 nucleotides) under Elaeis guineensis (African oil palm). RNAcentral describes it as "long non-coding RNA (EGUI_LNC014829)". The record is from RNAcentral. Lineage: Eukaryota; Viridiplantae; Streptophyta; Magnoliopsida; Arecales; Arecaceae.
CUCCCUGUUACACCAAUUCUCUCAUAAUAUGUGCAUGGAAUAUAUUUUUGUGCGAGCAAAUGACCAUUACUCUUUUAUAUUUAUGAUGGAUUGUUUGUAUUUAUGAUGAACUGUAGUGUUUAUAUUUAUGAUUGAUGAUUUACAGCUUUAGUGUGUGAGAAUGUACCAUCCCAGCAAGUAUGCAUUUUUAUUGAUGAAAAGUGAGCCUUUUUUUAGAUUGAGAUUUAUCCUGCACUGUAUCUAUC